UUGUUUUUCUGUAUUGAGCAAACGCUUGUCUUGUUUUUCUGUAGCAUUCACCAUGCAUGUCUCGUGUGAUCCUUGUGCAGGCCGUAUAGCACUAAUUGGACUGCGGUGGUCUGAUGACACCUUCCCUUGUCCAUGGAGGAUCCUCAAUAGGCAAGAACAUAUGCCACCGCUGAUCCAAAGCUCGUGCCAGGGGAAGGGAUUCUGUCAUUGCCUUCUAUGUGGGUGGCGUAGACCACUGUGUGCCGCCUCUUCCAUGGACGCAACAGCUGCUCCGACCCCGCUGCCGACGCCAUGGAGAUCGUCAAGAUUGCAUUCCUCGGGAAGAUACUCCUUUCGUCCAUCAAACCUACCGGACAUGAUGGAAAAUCUCCAUUGCGCAUGACACC
Triticum dicoccoides is the source of this 386-nucleotide long non-coding RNA. RefSeq lists it as uncharacterized. The record is from RefSeq and is a predicted model, not a curated record. NCBI's taxonomy places the organism in Eukaryota, Viridiplantae, Streptophyta, Magnoliopsida, Poales, Poaceae. The transcript is spliced from 3 exons.